RNAcentral lists this long non-coding RNA (815 nucleotides) under Marmota monax (woodchuck). Lineage: Eukaryota; Metazoa; Chordata; Mammalia; Rodentia; Sciuridae. The record is from RNAcentral.
CUCUGAUGAGGAUUGUCACCUGGACUGAAAUCCUGAGGCACACCUUGUUGGAUGUGGAGCAGUGACCAUCACAAAGAAUGGAGGGGUGACCACAGGAUGCCCCCCCAAUGACCCCCUAGCAAUAGCCUGACCACAACACUCCUCCGCCCCUCACUGCCCUGUAGCUCCCCUAAGCUGUAAGUGGACAAUGGCUCCAACCUCCAUGUGGCCCCUUCUGCGGGCCAGCCUGGACUGAGCCUGUCCUGCUGAGCCGCCCUCUCUGUCUCCUUCCCCGGACUCCGUCCUUACAGUCACCAUGGGCCCCUCUUUCUGAACCUCUAUGUCCUGCUCCCUCGCUCUGCCUCUGCUGCCUUCUACGUCACAGGUCCUGGCUUUGGUUUUGGUGUGGUGACGGCUGCCGGAGGCUUCCGGGUGCUGUGCUCAGCUCUGGAACUCAAGACUUUAUUCCAAGAGUCGUUUGUGGUCCUCCUCCUCCCCCUUUCUCGUUGUACCUUCCUGAAGGUCACCCUGUCCUCUGAGAUUCACAGAAGAUAUUUAAUUCUAGGUCCUGAUAGGAAAGUCAGCGCCUCCUCUUGUUUGCUGUUACUUUGAGCUUUUCGACUUCUGGUCCCUGUGGGUCUAGUUUUCUUCGGCUGGUGAUGUCCUGAUCACCAUAUGGAAUGUCCAGCCCAGGUGUGGAACCCCUCCUGGCUGUGUGUCCCCCAGAUGGUGUCCAUGCCGUUCACCUUGGGGGUGCACUUUGCUGAAGCCUUAGCUGGGGAGGGGGCUUCACAACCUGCAGAGUGCAGAGCUGUACUUUAAGGCCUUGGCCUCUG